Molecule: long non-coding RNA, 2354 nt
Filed under: Salmo salar (Atlantic salmon)
Lineage: Eukaryota; Metazoa; Chordata; Actinopteri; Salmoniformes; Salmonidae
Description: lncRNA (ENSSSAG00000088377.1, ENSSSAG00000099107.1)
Source: RNAcentral
GCUGUAUUUACAUUUGUGAGUUUGUCCUGGGCUAAUGAGAUGGCAGCAGUGAAGGCGUGGGAUCAGAGGGGUUCUUGGGAACGCUCUCAUUGCCAUUCUGGUCAGCAAUCAAACUGUUUGUAGAGUCAGUGUUCCAUGAAAACAAAAUGCUCACACACACAUACACAAAUGGAAGGAUGUGUGGUCAUAAACACAGUUGGCUUAAGUGGAGCGUAUCGGUGUGUUUUUAAAGAGCAGCUGGUUCCAGCUGAGGAAGAUCCGGUGACAUUUAGCCACCGGCUGGGUUUAAAGGUUUACAGCUACACCCUUAACCACACACACACACACAGGUCUGAUUAGAGGCUGCAGACACACAGGUCUGAUUAUAGACCGCAGACACACAGGUCUGAUUAGAGACUGCAGACACACAGGUCUGAUUAGAGACUGCAGACACACAGGUCUGAUUAGAGACUGCAGACACACAGGUCUGAUUAUAGACCGCAGACACACAGGUCUGAUUAGAGACUGCAGACACACAGGUCUGAUUAGAGACUGCAGACACACAGGUCUGAUUAUAGACCGCAGACACACAGGUCUGAUUAGAGCCUGCAGACACACUGGUCUGAUUAGAGACUGCAGACACACAGGUCCUGUCCCAUCCACCAUCCACUUCCCUCAUGCCCUACCAUCCCCUGCCCAAUAAUUCAUUCAUUCAUAUUUUACAGCAUUUUGUUCUGUCCAGACAAGCCCCUAAAAGAAGAGAUGGGUCAUUCCACCAAUUCCGUGCCUUUCGAGUGUAAACACUUUUGAUUCCACCUAAUUUUAACAUUCUGUCAUGAAGAGCACAUGUUCACCUCAUAAAAAAACAUGUUUUUCCAUCUCAAGAGGUUAAAUAAAUAAAAUUACUCUAGUAAGUGCUUAUUAAGUACCAAAUAAUGUUGCCCGGGUUGACGAUUUAUUCUUAAAUCAGCCAUGAAUCCCCUUGUGACAGGGGGAAUGGACGUUUGUUGUGUGCAACAGGAAGGGGCAAUUGAAUGCAUGCUUCACAAUUGAUUGAUUUAUUGUUAAAACAUUUAGAGUCCGUCUAUCUACGCGUUAUACUCAACCUGCUCAGUUUUCCACCACAAAACACCAGAAAUGUAACUACUUUUACACUUAUGAUUUGGCUAUUGACUGUUUCUUUUGAAUUACAUAUGAAAAAGGAAUGCUUUCACCAUAUUAAAACCAGAGUUCAGUUCACAUAACAGGGUUCACCUUAAAAUAAGGGACAGACGUAAAUUAGUCACUAAUCACAUUAAAUAAAUAAUCAUCUUCAGAAAUGACUUUGUCAAAGCAACAACAUAAUGAGGGCUUUACAAUGAUGGUGAAACUUGGAGACAUUCUGGGAUUAAGUGGGUUAAAAUCUUCACAGGUGUGACACAGGGUUGACAGAGGGACAUGUCAAAAUGCUGAAUUUUGACACUUUAGCAAGAUAUAUUGAAUUAUCCAUGUGGUCUAUAUUAAAGGGCACUUCAUUUAAUAUAGCAGGUUUUUAUAUUUAUAUGCACAAUUUCUUCUUAAAAUAUCAAAGGGACGCAAAAGGCACUGUUUUUGUGGAAUGACCCAGAUAUCUACUUCAUUCUCUGAAGCAGGCCCAGUCAGUUACUAUACCCACGUGGUUAAAUCUCAUGUGAGACACAGAAGAGUUGAUACCUCCCCAGAGCCCAAACUAUCUGUCUGUAAUAUAGGCCACCCCUAUGGCCAAUUAUUUUCAUCCAACGGCUCAUUUCCAAUAUGGAGGUCUGAUAAGUGUGACAGAAGAUGGGAUGUGUGUGAAUGUAUGGGUUUGUGGAAAGAGAAAGGGAGAAAAAGAGAAUGAAAGAGAGAUGAGAGAAAAAUAAACAGCCUAUCAGUCUCCAUCACUGAUCCAGAUUAGAUAUACUACACUUAAUGGCUGCGUUUACACAGGCAGCCCAAUUCUGAUCUUUUUUUCACUUAUUGGUCUUUUGAACAAUUUUAUCAGCUCUGAAAAGAUCUGAUGUGAAAAGAUCUGAUGUGAUUGGUCAAAAGACCAAUUAGUGGAAAAAAAAUAAUUGGACUGCUUGUGUAAACGCAGCCUAUGAGACAUAUUAUCCCCUAUUUGUCUCUGUUUAGUUUGUGUGGGCAUGUGUGUGACGCCAUUUUGAUUUUCAUAAUCACCUCUUUCCCUCACAUCCUUCUCCUUCAAUUACUCUGUGAAUAGAUCAUACCCCCCACCGAUGACGUCCCUGUGAUACAAUGCCAUCGGACCAGUGUGCCAUGGGUGUGUGUGUGUGUGUGUGUGUGUGUGUGUGUGUGUGUGUGUGUGUGUGUGUGUGUGUGUGUGUGUGUGUGUGUGUGUGUGUGUGUGUGUGUGU